GAUGGAGAACGUAGCGAAAUGCGAUAAGUAAUGUGAAUUGCAGAAUUCAGUGAAUCAUCGAAUCUUUGAACGCACAUUGCGCCCGCCAGCAUUCUGGCGGGCAUGCCUGUUCGAGCGUCAUUUCAACCCUCGAGCCCCCCCGGGGGCCUCGGUGUUGGGGGACGGCACACCAGCCGCCCCCGAAAUGCAGUGGCGACCCCGCCGCAGCCUCCCCUGCGUAGUAGCACACACCUCGCACCGGAGCGCGGAGGCGGUCACGCCGUAAAACGCCCAACUUUCUUAGAGUUGACCUCGGAUCAGGUAGGAAUACCCGCUGAACUUAAGCAUAUCAAUAAGCGGAGGA
This 343-nucleotide unclassified non-coding RNA is filed under the name soil metagenome. RNAcentral describes it as "partial contains 5.8S ribosomal RNA, internal transcribed spacer 2, and large subunit ribosomal RNA". The stretch from base 1 to 120 matches the Rfam family "5.8S ribosomal RNA", at positions 35 to 154 of the family's 154-position model. The record is from RNAcentral.